RNAcentral lists this ribosomal RNA (691 nucleotides) under Lanice conchilega. RNAcentral describes it as "partial large subunit ribosomal RNA". It matches the Rfam family "Eukaryotic large subunit ribosomal RNA", at positions 355 to 819 of the family's 3401-position model. Lineage: Eukaryota; Metazoa; Annelida; Polychaeta; Terebellida; Terebellidae. The record is from RNAcentral.
GAGGGAAAGUUGAAAAGAACUUUGAAGAGAGAGUUCAAAAGUACGUGAAACUGUUUAGAGGUAAACGGAUGGGACCGCAAGCUGCCCUCUGGAAUUCAACCUCGCCUUCCCUAGAUUUCGUCUCCAUUCGGAUCGCUGGCUCGACUCGUUCGAGCGACGUGACCGAUGGGUGGCGAAGACCGAUGGGUCGGUGGGUGCAUUUUCUCGGGGGCCAGUGCCAGGACCGGUUCGGGGGUGGCCAUAAACUGCUCGCGACAAGGUAGGUUCGUCUCUCGUGGGCGAACCGUUUAGGUAUGGGCAGAGGCGGCCGCACUCCCGGACCGAGGAAUGAAUUUUACACGCCGCGGCGCGGGCCCCGGUCCCUCGCCAUCUGAUUCGACUCGCCAGGACUGUUCUAUGUGCUGGCGGACUGGCAGUGGUGCAGCGGUUCGGUUCUCCCGUGUACGCCCAGGGUCUCUGGCCAGCCGGUCGGCACCCCAUCCGACCCGUCUUGAAACACGGACCAAGGAGUCUAACAUGUGCGCGAGUCAAGGGGUGAUAAAAACCCAAAGGCGCAACGAAAGUGAAGGAGGGCACGGCUCGGCUCGCCGCAGCCUGCCCCAGGUAGGAUCCCUCGUUUCCGCGGGGGCGCACUACCGGCCCGUCUCGCCUCGGGGCGAGGCGGCGCUAGAGCGUACACGUUGGGACCCCA